This 491-nucleotide ribosomal RNA is filed under the name uncultured bacterium. RNAcentral's name for it is "partial 16S ribosomal RNA". It matches the Rfam family "Bacterial small subunit ribosomal RNA", at positions 29 to 506 of the family's 1533-position model. The record is from RNAcentral.
AGUGAACGCUGGCGGUAGGCCUAACACAUGCAAGUCGAACGGCAGCACAGUAAGAGCUUGCUCUUACGGGUGGCGAGUGGCGGACGGGUGAGGAAUACAUCGGAAUCUACUUUUUCGUGGGGGAUAACGUAGGGAAACUUACGCUAAUACCGCAUACGACCUACGGGUGAAAGCAGGGGAUCUUCGGACCUUGCGCGAUUGAAUGAGCCGAUGUCGGAUUAGCUAGUUGGCGGGGUAAAGGCCCACCAAGGCGACGAUCCGUAGCUGGUCUGAGAGGAUGAUCAGCCAAACGGGAAUGGAGACACGGUCCAACCCCCUAGGGGGGGCAGCAGUGGGGAAUUUUGGAAAAGGGGCGAAAGCCUGACCCAGCCAUACCGGGGGGGGGAAGAAGGCCUUGGGGUUGAAAAGCCCUUUUUUUGGGAAAAAAAAGCAGCAGGUUAAAACCCCGCCGUUCUGACGGUACCCAAAGAAUAAGCACCGGCUAACUUCGU